Molecule: long non-coding RNA, 381 nt
Organism: Syzygium oleosum
Lineage: Eukaryota; Viridiplantae; Streptophyta; Magnoliopsida; Myrtales; Myrtaceae
Exons: 2
Source: RefSeq, a predicted model, not a curated record
GACAAACUCUACCCAAACUCCUUCUCUGUACGAACCGAAGACCUUCAAGCAAAGCUAGGGUUUCGACUUGCGCUGGAGUGGAGGCCUUUACCGAUCUAGUGUGAUCGGCAACGAGGCUCCUAGUGAAAUCCCGACAUAUGCACGCAACGGCACUGUCAGUCGUUCCCUUCCCAAGAGCGCCGUCAACAUUAAUUUUCAGUUCGCCUUUCUCCGGUGUGACCCAGGUUUCUUGCAAGAUCUGUGCUGAUUCAACAGUAACCUCUGCAUUCGGGUCUUGGCCUCUGAAUAUUGCGUUGUUGCGAGCAACCCAAAUGCACCACAGUAUCGAAGCCACCUCUUCAAGGGAAGGAACUAUGUUCUGAUUUUCUUUUAUACUCGCUA